Molecule: long non-coding RNA, 1154 nt
Filed under: Solanum tuberosum (potato)
Lineage: Eukaryota; Viridiplantae; Streptophyta; Magnoliopsida; Solanales; Solanaceae
Description: long non-coding RNA (STUB_LNC002249)
Source: RNAcentral
AACCAACAAAAGGAAUGAUGCCUCCUCUGCUUUACCCUGUGCCUCAGAGGAAAGAAAGCUAUCCUGAGGCACCACAUGGCACAAAGCCUCUAUUUUCUCCUAUUCAUACACAGCAACCAUAUUCACCAACUUCAAUCCCGAUACCUCAAAGGAAAGAAAACUACCCUGAAACAAAUCCUGGACCAAAGCCUUUAUUUUCCCCUGGUUAUACACAACAAUCACAUUCACCAACUUCAAACCCGACACCUCAGAGGCCUGAGGCAGCACAUGGCACAAAGCCGCUGUUUUCCUCUGUUCAUACACAACAACCAUACUCACCAACUUCAAACUCGAUACCUCAAAGGAAAGAAAACUACCCUGAAACAACUCAUGGACCAAGGCCUCUGUUUUCCCCUGGUUAUACACAACAAUCACAUUCACCAACACCUCAGAGGAAAGAAAGCCAUCCUGAGGCAGCACACGGCACAAAGCCUCUGUUUACCCCUAUUCAUACACAGAAACCAUAUUCACCAACUUCAAACCCGAUACCUCAAAGGAAAGAGAACUACCCUGAAACAACUCAUGGACCAAGGCCUCUGUUUACCCCUAUUCAUACACAGAAACCAUAUUCACCAACUUCAAACCCGAUACCUCAAAGGAAAGAAAGCUACUCUGAAACAGCACACGGCACAAAGCCUCUGUUUACCCCUGUUCAUACACAGCAACCAUAUUCACCAACUUCAAACCCGAUACCUCAAAGGAAAGAAAGCUACCCUGAAACAGCACACGGUGCAAAGCCUUUGUUUUCCUCUGGUUAUACACCACAAUCACAUCCACCAACUUCAAACCCAACACCUCAAAGGAAAGAAAGCUACCCAGAAACAACACACGAUACAAACCCUAUGUUUUCCCCUGUUUCUACACAACAAUCAACUGCAAAUCCGACCUCUCAAAACAACGAAAGUCAGCCAAAGAAGAAAAAAGGUUGGACAUCUCUGUUUUCCUCUAAUGCUAAGCAACAACCACACCCUCCAACAUCACACUCAACACCUGAUAUGAAACAAAGCUACCCUGAUCAUGAAACUCAAGGUUUCCACCCUUCAUUUUCCCCUUCUUCUCCACAAAAGGAACGCUACAGUCCACAAAUGAAAGACCAUUACCCCGACCAAAUCCAG